Molecule: unclassified non-coding RNA, 305 nt
Filed under: plant metagenome
Description: partial contains 5.8S ribosomal RNA, internal transcribed spacer 2, and large subunit ribosomal RNA
Rfam family: 5.8S ribosomal RNA (bases 1-105)
Source: RNAcentral
GAAAUGCGAUAAGUAGUGUGAAUUGCGGAAUUCAGUGAAUCAUCGAAUCUUUGAACGCACAUUGCGCCCCUUGGUAUUCCAUGGGGCAUGCCUGUUCGAGCGUCAUCUGUACCUUCAAGCUCUGCUUGGUGUUGGGUGUUUGUCUCGCCUCUGCGCGCAGACUCGCCUCAAAACAAUUGGCAGCCGGCGUAUUGAUUUCGGAGCGCAGUACAUCUCGCGCUUUGCACUCAGAACGACGACGUCCAAAAGUACAUUUUUUACACUCUUGACCUCGGAUCAGGUAGGGAUACCCGCUGAACUUAAGC